UCUGCCAUCACGUCUCGGUUGCAAAAAAAACACACAUCACGUCUCCAACUUCAACCAUAGCGCCCCCUCCCCCAGCCGCCACAGAACUCCUCCCUAUUCCCAUCGCCGCCACCGCCGCCUGUCGUUCCUCCUCUGCUAUCGAGGGCGCGAGCGAACGGAACCAACCACCGAAGUAACCGGAGCGGAAAACAGCGGUGGAAUGGGGAGAUGGCGUUUGCGGCGGCGGGGGAGGAGACGGGGCGGGCGUCCUACAUCCGGGAAGGAUCCCAAGGGCCGGGUCAUCUCCGCCACAACGCGCACCGAUGUCGCGGCGCGCCUCGGCGAGCUUCGCGACCAGAUCCUCGCCCGCCGCGCCUCCUUCACCAACCUCGCCGCCCAACACUCCGGCUGCUCCUCCGUGCACGCGGCAGCGACCUAGGUAUACCUCCACUUGCCCCGCCUACGCGCUCUGCAGGCUGUCAGAUAGGGUCUCGGAUCGUGGAGAAUCGGGAUGCACCAACCCAUGAAGAGCUCGACAGCGCGGAGGUCCUCUCCGGUCAGGACUACGUGACCAGCCCUAGAUGCACCGCUGAGCCAAGAACUUCUCUGUUCUUUUUCUUCUUCUGUUAACCAGCCAAAACAUUUUUUCUGAAAACAAUCUGGUUUGUGAUGAACCAACAACACAAAUAAUGGUUCUCUCCGGCUCUUUUCUUCAAAGCAAUCUGAGGAAAGGGUGCGAAGGAAAUUGGAGCAUAGGCAUAGGCAACGGAAAAUUGCUCAGGAAUAUCUCCAUCUUAUGCUUACUGCUUUGAUGCACAGUCACUAUAAAAAGGGUCAAAACAAUUAGUGAGAUACUUCUCUGGAUAUAGAGCUCAUUGACACACGCCUAUAGUAUGUGGUUGAACAUUCAUUACCUUGUGGUUGGUACUUUGUCCCAGCCUCCCAAUCUUAAAUCUGAAGUUGUUCUGUAUGGGGGAGUAUUGUAUGACUGUGUUUCCAGGCUUAAAUCUGAAAUUGUUGUGUACUAUAUGUGCAUGCAGUGUGUAUGGUAUAACCAAUCGAUGUGCAGAAGUUAGCAUGAACCGAAGGGCAAUCAGUGCGCCACCGGAAGGCUCGGCAGUGCUUAUCGCCGGAGCUACACUACCAGCAAUGGCAUCCAAAUCUUCAAUAACGAUCAAGGUAUAUACAGUGUACACACAAAGAGGUCCACAUGUAAUUAUCUAAUUAUUGGAUGCAUCAGAUUAACGUGUUGAAUGAAUCACAUGUGUAUACUUAAGACAAAUGCAUUAAUGAUUAGUCAUUUUUCUGUUUAUCCAUUAUACAUGUCCUCCAAGGUAACCAUGUACACUUGAGCCCAAGUACAAUGCUGCCAUCUAACGCCGCCUGCAAUUUUUUAGCUCCAGGAACUUGGACCGUCCUGCAAGAAGAAUUAGUUGAAAAGGUUGGUCUAUGCUACUUGUCUAAGGCUGAGUAUAUGCUCUUUGUUGUUAAUUGCAGUGAUAGUAACUAUGAUUGAAUUGCUAAGGUGAAAAACUGACAACUAUUUUGCUUGAUGAGCUUACUCUUGUUCAUCACAUUGCAUACCUCUUACAUGGAAAUCAUCGAAUGUUCACACAUAUGUAUGUCCUUUCGUUCUCAUUUCCUACUUUUUAUUUCGAUCUUCCGUUUUGUGUGGAUAAUCCAAUUUCUUAUAUUGUCAAUGGAUCUAAAACAUUUUCACUUCUGAAUCAUAUUUCAAACUGAUAGUGCAGCUUCGAUGGCCUUUUAUUCCAUGCCGACAACUGUAUUUUGUACCAUUAAAAAGAUAUAACUACAUUUUAUUCCUGAGAGAGCAAUCUUAUAGGGGAAUAUAGUGUUUUGUUUGUGCACUCUCAUUUGGCAUCUUACUAUUUGUCUAUGUAUGACAGUUCUCACAUUAGAUGAUGCAGAAUAUGUGUAUAUUUUUACCAAGGAGUUCUAAUGAUUUGAAGACUGCAUAUGUGCAGAUCUAGAAACUCUUUCUUCCCCAGAUGGGCAAUGGGUCAAGCCGAUCCGUCGUUGGCUCUGAAAGUGCACAUGCAUUGCUUCUGUACACUACUAAUGAUUCGAGGAUUAUAUUUCUUAAUAACCCAAUUUUUUUUACUGUAAUGGCAACCAUGAUCAACUUUACAGAAAGCCAGGGUUAGUCACAAUUGUCUUUUAUUUCCUCACAAAGGUGCUAGGUACAGAUCAAAUUAAUGUUUACACUCGAA
Triticum aestivum (bread wheat) is the source of this 2210-nucleotide long non-coding RNA. RefSeq lists it as uncharacterized. NCBI's taxonomy places the organism in Eukaryota, Viridiplantae, Streptophyta, Magnoliopsida, Poales, Poaceae. The record is from RefSeq and is a predicted model, not a curated record. The transcript is spliced from 2 exons.